UACCAUGCAAGUCGAGCGGUAGCACAGAGAGCUUGCUCUCGGGUGACGAGCGGCGGACGGGUGAGUAAUGUCUGGGAAACUGCCUGAUGGAGGGGGAUAACUACUGGAAACGGUAGCUAAUACCGCAUAACGUCGCAAGACCAAAGUGGGGGACCUUCGGGCCUCAUGCCAUCAGAUGUGCCCAGAUGGGAUUAGCUGGUAGGUGGGGUAACGGCUCACCUAGGCGACGAUCCCUAGCUGGUCUGAGAGGAUGACCAGCCACACUGGAACUGAGACACGGUCCAGACUCCUACGGGAGGCAGCAGUGGGGAAUAUUGCACAAUGGGCGCAAGCCUGAUGCAGCCAUGCCGCGUGUGUGAAGAAGGCCUUCGGGUUGUAAAGCACUUUCAGCGGGGAGGAAGGCGUUGAGGUUAAUAA
This 417-nucleotide ribosomal RNA is filed under the name Klebsiella pneumoniae. RNAcentral describes it as "bacterial SSU rRNA". It matches the Rfam family "Bacterial small subunit ribosomal RNA", at positions 52 to 466 of the family's 1533-position model. The record is from RNAcentral. Lineage: Bacteria; Pseudomonadati; Pseudomonadota; Gammaproteobacteria; Enterobacterales; Enterobacteriaceae.